Magnolia sinica is the source of this 761-nucleotide RNA transcript. It is a transcript of the gene named biogenesis of lysosome-related organelles complex 1 subunit 1, with no coding region annotated. The record is from RefSeq and is a predicted model, not a curated record. The transcript is spliced from 4 exons. Lineage: Eukaryota; Viridiplantae; Streptophyta; Magnoliopsida; Magnoliales; Magnoliaceae.
UAUAAACCAUCAGUCUCCCUCUCUCUCUACCUCACUUGUAAAUGGGAUGGAGAAAACGGCAGCAGCUGCAGGAGGAGAGAUUGGAAGCUUGAAAACGUCGCUGCUGCGAAUCGUUGUGGAACAUCACCAGUCCUCCCUCCAAAUUCGACACCAAACUGAGAAGGCAAAGAAUGAUGCUCUAAGAAGUGCUAUGCGUGUAUCGGAACUUCUGGUCAACACUGUAAAUAGUGGGGUGGAAGAAUCCUUUGUAAAUGAGAAGCGUAUUGAACUCGAGAUACGUGCUCUAGCCAGUACUGUUAUGCGCUACACAAAGCAAACAAAUCAAUGGCUGGCUGCUUCUCAUGCUCUAAACACUGCUUUAAAGGAGAUUGGUGAUUUUGAGAAUUGGAUGAAGACAAUGGAUUAUGAUUGUAAAAGCAUAAAUGCUGCUCUCCGCAACAUUCACCAGACAUGAAUUGAAGCGUUCGAUCCUCAACAAACCCAGAAUAAUUCAUGAAAUCUAAACUCGGAGACGACUUCACAGUCCACAUACAACAUUGCAUGCGACCAUCUCUUACAGAAAAGUUGGCUAUUGAACACUACAAAUGGUCAAUCUGGAUCGUCCAUCAGAUCGAGUACUCGUGUCAUGGGCAUCCAUGGAAAAAUCCCACCGAUCCGAUUGUUAAUCCUGUGAUGGAUGACUCUCCUUGGUAGCCAUCCGUUUUCCAGGCCAGAGAUGGAGUGGCUAGGAUGACGUGACAGAAGUGAUGCUUGAGAAUCGU